RNAcentral lists this ribosomal RNA (253 nucleotides) under uncultured bacterium. Its description in RNAcentral is "partial 16S ribosomal RNA". It matches the Rfam family "Bacterial small subunit ribosomal RNA", at positions 524 to 776 of the family's 1533-position model. The record is from RNAcentral.
UACAGAGGUGGCAAGCGUUGUUCGGAAUUACUGGGCGUAAAGGGCGCGUAGGCGGCCUUCUAAGUCAGACGUGAAAUCCCCCGGCUUAACCUGGGAACUGCGUCUGAUACUGGGAGGCUAGAGUGCGGGAGAGGGAUGCGGAAUUCCAGGUGUAGCGGUGAAAUGCGUAGGUAUCUGGAGGAACACCGGCGGCGAAGGCGGCAUCCUGGACCGACACUGACGCUGAGGCGCGAAAGCUAGGGGAGCAAACAGG